AAAAACGAAAAAAGAAAAAAAAUUAAUUAAUUAAAUAAAUAAAUAAAAUAAAUAAAUAAAAUAUAAAAAUUAUUUUGGACUUGGGUCUCCCUCAUUUGAGCCCACUACCCACGAAAAUCAGUCUAUAAAUACUGAAGUUUCAGUAGAGGAAAAGACACUUGGAGUUACAUUGGGAGAUUCACUGGAAAAAGAUAGUGAGAGAAAGAAGACAGAACAAAGGGGGAUUUUGAGGAGAAACAAAACACUCUGAGG
This 252-nucleotide long non-coding RNA is filed under the name Lathyrus oleraceus (garden pea). Its description in RNAcentral is "Pisum sativum (pea) long non-coding RNA (PSAT_LNC011534)". Lineage: Eukaryota; Viridiplantae; Streptophyta; Magnoliopsida; Fabales; Fabaceae. The record is from RNAcentral.